Molecule: small nuclear RNA, 169 nt
Organism: Alexandromys fortis (reed vole)
Lineage: Eukaryota; Metazoa; Chordata; Mammalia; Rodentia; Cricetidae
Product: U4 spliceosomal RNA
Exons: 1
Source: RefSeq, a predicted model, not a curated record
AGCUUUGCGCAGUGGCAGUAUCGUAGCCAAUGAGGUUUAUCCGAGGCGUGAUUAUUGCUAAUUGAAAAAUUAUGAGUCUGAGUCAAAUAGGGUCUUGAGAAUGGGGGAUCAGAAAUUUAAGGUCAUCCUUGUUUAUAUAGUGUGUCUGAGGCUGUUCUGUGCCAUAGGA